GUCUACGGCCACACCACCCUGAACGCGCCCAAUCUCGUCUGAUCUCAGAAGCUAAGCAGGGUCGGGCCUGGUUAGUACUUGGAUGGGAGAUCGUCUAGAAUUAACCAGUGAAUUCUGUUGGUU
Ribosomal RNA from Panthera pardus (leopard), 123 nucleotides. The record is from Ensembl. NCBI's taxonomy places the organism in Eukaryota, Metazoa, Chordata, Mammalia, Carnivora, Felidae.